Molecule: long non-coding RNA, 547 nt
Organism: Drosophila montana
Lineage: Eukaryota; Metazoa; Arthropoda; Insecta; Diptera; Drosophilidae
Exons: 3
Source: RefSeq, a predicted model, not a curated record
UUUGGCAGAACAGUAAAAUGUUCACAAAUUUUCAAUGCUGUAGUUACAAAAUGUAACAGCACAACUAUAUUUCGAUUUAUAUAAAGUUUACUAGCGGGCUAACUCCGGCCUUGCCCAUAGUACGGUAUGCAGCUUUCGAAAAGUGUGAAACACAACACUAAGAUAUUUUGAAAAUCAGAUGGGGCCGAUUGGAUUGUACACAAAAAAGUUUCAUACAAACGUUUUUCGUGAUUUUUUCACAUAUGCGGGUGGAAUUUCCCGAAACCCCGCCUUAACGAGCACCUUCAGCACAAAAGACAUUUAGCAUAAAUCAGCUCUGACUCUGCCAGUCAGUUGCUCCUUGGUUUACUUUCGUAUAUACUUGAAAGACAUAAAUAAAGUUAGGGAAUUGCGUUUGUUGCCGGCAAUCAUUUGAAAGCUAAGCAUUAAAGCUUACCUGAUUCAAAAGACAGACAGGACAACUGCAUAUUUAAAUAUUUAAUAACUUGAGCAAUGCGAAUUCUUUUUAAUUAUUCUGACCUUUUUGACAAGCAUUUGGCAUAGAAAA